UACGUAGGGUGCGAGCGUUAAUCGGAAUUACUGGGCGUAAAGCGUGCGUAGGCGGUUGCGCAAGACAGGUGUGAAAUCCCCGGGCUUAACCUGGGAAUUGCACUUGUGACUGUGCGGCUGGAGUGCGGCAGAGGGGGAUGGAAUUCCGCGUGUAGCAGUGAAAUGCGUAGAUAUGCGGAGGAACACCGAUGGCGAAGGCAGUCCCCUGGGCCUGCACUGACGCUCAUGCACGAAAGCGUGGGGAGCAAACAGG
This 253-nucleotide ribosomal RNA is filed under the name uncultured bacterium. RNAcentral describes it as "partial 16S ribosomal RNA". It matches the Rfam family "Bacterial small subunit ribosomal RNA", at positions 524 to 776 of the family's 1533-position model. The record is from RNAcentral.